This is a non-coding RNA of Neurospora sp. IMI 360204, 91 nucleotides long. NCBI's taxonomy places the organism in Eukaryota, Fungi, Ascomycota, Sordariomycetes, Sordariales, Sordariaceae. The record is from the annotation of a GenBank genome assembly.
GGUUCUAUAGUGUAGCGGUUAUCACUCCGGAUUCUGAUUUCUUGACGAUUAGAACAUUCCGGCAACCCCGGUUCGAUUCCGGGUAGGACCU